GAUACCCUAUUAUUUUAAAUGUAAUUUUUUACCUAGAUUAUUAUUAGUUAUGGUCUUUAAAAUUAAAAAAUUUGGCGGUAUUUUAGUCUGUUCAGAGGAACCUGUUUUUUAAUCGAUAGUCCACGAUAAUUUUUACUUUAUCUUUAAAUUUGUAUAUCGUCGUUUAUAAAAAUUUUAGGAGAAUUUUAAUUUUUUAGAUUUAUUAUGUUUAAUUUAUUUCAGAUCAAGGUGUAGUUUAUGUUAAAGUUUAAAUGGGUUACAUUAUGUUUAUAUUUGGAAUUUAAUUUUAAAAUUUUGAUGAAAUUGGAUUUGAUAGUAAAUUCUUUAUUUUUGGGAUUUGAUUUAGCUCUAAAAUAUGUACACAUCGCC
RNAcentral lists this ribosomal RNA (369 nucleotides) under Aphtora rufipes. Its description in RNAcentral is "partial 12S ribosomal RNA". Lineage: Eukaryota; Metazoa; Arthropoda; Insecta; Coleoptera; Tenebrionidae. The record is from RNAcentral.